This 253-nucleotide ribosomal RNA is filed under the name uncultured bacterium. RNAcentral describes it as "partial 16S ribosomal RNA". It matches the Rfam family "Bacterial small subunit ribosomal RNA", at positions 524 to 776 of the family's 1533-position model. The record is from RNAcentral.
UACAGAGGUGGCAAGCGUUGUUCGGAAUUACUGGGCGUAAAGGGCGCGUAGGCGGCCUUCUAAGUCAGACGUGAAAUCCCCCGGCUUAACCUGGGAACUGCGUCUGAUACUGGGAGGCUUGAGUUUGGGAGAGGGAUGUAGAAUUCCAGGUGUAGCGGUGAAAUGCGUAGAUAUCUGGAGGAACACCGGUGGCGAAGGCGGCAUCCUGGACCGGCAUUGACGCUGAGGCGCGAAAGCCAGGGGAGCAAACGGG